GACGAACGCUGGCGGCGUGCUUAACACAUGCAAGUCGAACGGAAAGGCCCUGCUUUUGUGGGGUGCUCGAGUGGCGAACGGGUGAGUAACACGUGAGUAACCUGCCCUUGACUUUGGGAUAACUUCAGGAAACUGGGGCUAAUACCGGAUAGGAGCUCCUGCUGCAUGGUGGGGGUUGGAAAGUUUCGGCGGUUGGGGAUGGACUCGCGGCUUAUCAGCUUGUUGGUGGGGCAGUGGCUUACCAAGGCUUUGACGGGUAGCCGGCCUGAGAGGGUGACCGGCCACAUUGGGACUGUGAUACGGCCCAGACUCCUACGGGAGGCAGCAGUGGGGAAUAUUGCACAAUGGGCGGAAGCCUGAUGCAGCAACGCCGCGUGCGGGAUGACGGCCUUCGGGUUGUAAACCGCUUUCGCCUGUGACGAAGCGUGAGUGACGGUAAUGGGUAAAGAAGCACCGGCUAACUACGUG
This 468-nucleotide ribosomal RNA is filed under the name uncultured bacterium. RNAcentral's name for it is "partial 16S ribosomal RNA". It matches the Rfam family "Bacterial small subunit ribosomal RNA", at positions 28 to 507 of the family's 1533-position model. The record is from RNAcentral.